GGAAACGUGACCGAGAGGCCGAAGGUGCUCCCCUGCUAAGGGAGUAUGGGGUGUAGAGCCCCAUCGAGGGUUCGAAUCCCUCCGUUUCCGCCA
This 93-nucleotide transfer RNA is filed under the name Allobrachymonas denitrificans. RNAcentral describes it as "tRNA-Ser". It matches the Rfam family "tRNA". From Rfam's summary of the family: Transfer RNA (tRNA) molecules are approximately 80 nucleotides in length. Lineage: Bacteria; Pseudomonadati; Pseudomonadota; Betaproteobacteria; Burkholderiales; Comamonadaceae. RNAcentral also lists the same sequence under 7 other names. The record is from RNAcentral.